UCUCAUGAGGAAACAGAGAAGGUGGCUA
RNAcentral lists this non-coding RNA (28 nucleotides) under Homo sapiens (human). Lineage: Eukaryota; Metazoa; Chordata; Mammalia; Primates; Hominidae. The record is from RNAcentral.